GCAACCCUUAUCCUUUGUUGCCAGCGGUCCGGCCGGGAACUCAAAGGAGACUGCCAGUGAUAAACUGGAGGAAGGUGGGGAUGACGUCAAGUCAUCAUGGCCCUUACGACCAGGGCUACACACGUGCUACAAUGGCGCAUACAAAGAGAAGCGACCUCGCGAGAGCAAGCGGACCUCAUAAAGUGCGUCGUAGUCCGGAUUGGAGUCUGCAACUCGACUCCAUGAAGUCGGAAUCGCUAGUAAUCGUGGAUCAGAAUGCCACGGUGAAUACGUUCCCGGGCCUUGUACACACCGCCCGUCACACCAUGGGAGUGGGUUGCAAAAGAAGUAGGUAGCUUAACCUUCGGGAGGGCGCUUACCACUUUGUGAUUCAUGACUGGGGUGAAGUCGUAACAAGGUAACCGUAGGGGAACCUGC
This 417-nucleotide ribosomal RNA is filed under the name Salmonella enterica subsp. enterica serovar Infantis. RNAcentral describes it as "bacterial SSU rRNA". It matches the Rfam family "Bacterial small subunit ribosomal RNA", at positions 1098 to 1515 of the family's 1533-position model. The record is from RNAcentral. RNAcentral also lists the same sequence under 4 other names. Lineage: Bacteria; Pseudomonadati; Pseudomonadota; Gammaproteobacteria; Enterobacterales; Enterobacteriaceae.